UACGUAGGGGGCAAGCGUUGUCCGGAAUGACUGGGCGUAAAGGGCGUGUAGGCGGCUCUUUAAGUCUGAAGUGAAAGUCCUGCUUUCAAGGUGGGAAUUGCUUUGGAGACUGGAGAGCUUGAGUGCGGAAGAGUUAAGUGGAAUUCCCAGUGUAGCGGUGAAAUGCGUAGAGAUUGGGAGGAACACCAGUGGCGAAGGCGACUUACUGGGCCGUAACUGACGCUGAGGCGCGAAAGCGUGGGGAGCGAACAGG
This 253-nucleotide unclassified non-coding RNA is filed under the name uncultured Christensenellaceae bacterium. RNAcentral's name for it is "contains 16S-23S intergenic spacer region". It matches the Rfam family "Bacterial small subunit ribosomal RNA", at positions 524 to 776 of the family's 1533-position model. The record is from RNAcentral. Lineage: Bacteria; Bacillati; Bacillota; Clostridia; Christensenellales; Christensenellaceae.